AUGGCAUUCUACUCAGAUCAUCAUGCUUAUGCGAGCAACACUACAAACAGCACGGAAAGUAUUCAAGAACUGAUAAGUAAGAUUUCCCAUCGAUUAGAUGAUUUAGCUCGGCAGCGAGAAGUAGUUUUUGAGGAUAGGACUAGCUCUUAUGAUCCUUAUUCUAGAGGUCAUCCUUAUGUUGCUCCUACAUGCCAUAUUUGUGGAUUUCAGGGCCAUUCACCCACUGAAUGUCAGCGUGGUUACUCUCACCCUCCCGAUAGUUAUGGCAUGAGCUUCGCCCCACAGCCUAGCUCAUACCAAAACAAUUACUCAUAUGGGUGGCCUGAAAACCAGAAUAUGUCAUAUAGGAACAACAGCCCUGAGAUCUCAUCGUUUGCCUCUAGUUAUCCAUUGCAGGGAAUUAGGUACAAUGUGGAGAGCCACAACCAUGCACCACAACAGUUUUAUUCACCUCCUACUCAUAUACCGCAGCACCAGGAGAUGUGUCCAAUGGAGUUAAAUGGUCCUCCAUUUGGUCAACCAACAACUCCAGCACCUGUUGUGCAAUCUCAUGUGCAAGUGCCCACACAAGACGAGUUCGAUGACAUAGACAAGCUCACACUUUUGAGUCUCGAGUUCACUUGGAGUGCCGAGGAUGAUCCUAUUAGGAAGGUGAUACUUGAGGAAAUGAAGAAGAUUAAGAGUGGAAAGGAGCUAGUGGAAGAAGUAAGGAAGAUUGAGAAGAACAUCAACGCUGGCAGUACUAUCUCUUCCCUCCUUGAGCUGAGUGUUCCUGGGAUAUCCCUUGAGGUGUGUGACGUUCGAACACCUUCACAUUCAGCUGAGCAAGAUAGCGAGAGUCCAGAGGAAGAGAUACUUCAGAUCCAAGAAGAGAUUCUCGAAGCCAAGGCACAAGAUGAUCCAGAGCUCAACUACCCAAGUGAUCAGGUCGAAGACCUUGAAGAUCCAAUGUAUAUCCUUCCUGAAGAAGUAAAAGAAGCUCCAGUAGUUGAAGAUGAAGAACCAGAAAUUCAUUUGCCCAUCGUCAUACAAGAGCGUGAUGUAGCAGGUUCGAGUGACAUUCCUUGGGACCCUGGUGGACUCAGAGCAUGGGGAUGA
This 1098-nucleotide ribosomal RNA is filed under the name Triticum aestivum (bread wheat). Its description in RNAcentral is "partial small subunit ribosomal RNA". Lineage: Eukaryota; Viridiplantae; Streptophyta; Magnoliopsida; Poales; Poaceae. The record is from RNAcentral.